CUGCUGGUCAGUAGAGACGCCUGUGCGGGCCGUGACGCUGUCCUUGCACUGGAGGUCCUGUCCUCGGAAGGCUAGCCUCGGUUUCCUUAGGUUUAGUUGUUUGGGGGAGGAGACCAAACAGCGAGGUCAUCGGUCUCAUCGGAUUAGGGGAAUGAAGUUGGCCAUGCCCUUUCAAAGGAACCAUCUCGACAUUUGCCUGGAGAGAUUUAGGUAAAUCAUGGAAAACCUAAAUCAGGAUGGCCGGAUGUAGGAUUGAACCAUCAUCCUCCAGAAUGAUUUGAUAUGUUUGCUAGACAGGAAGUUGCCUAUCUGUUGGAGAGUGUAAUGAGAAACUGAAAGAUGUGGGUGGAUCCACUCCCUACACUCCAAUAUGGCAGGCUGUACCAUGUUGCACCAACAAACUUCCAAGAGAUCAUAGGUGCUGGGUAGAUAUUUGAGCAUCUGUCAACUGGAUCUGUGUUGUGACUGAUAUUUGUGAAUUGUUAGGCAAGACUGCUAAAGACAGUGUUAUUCAGCACAACUGCAUGCUUCUCUCUCUCUCUCCCUCCCCCCGUUUUUAUUAAGUAUGCAUCAAUUUUCCAAUACAUUAUGUAACUUUAAACCAGUAUGUAUUUUUUUUAUCAACUGUAAAUGAAUCUUCUAGGUCUUUAUGUGUGUAUGUUAAACAAAUAGUGUGGUAAACAUUUACUAAUGUAGACAAUCUAAUGAGAUGUAUACAUGUCUGCUUUCACACGCUGAUUUUGGUCCUCAAGCUAUUGGAUUGUGUCAUCAUUCAAAGCUAAUUUAUGACUGUUUACCUAUAGUUUUUCUGAGUAUUGCAAUAUUGUAUCUGAUUGGGAUUUGAGUUGUGGACAUAUUCAUUCUGUUUUGGGUACCCCUGGUCUUCGUGACUCUCUCUCUCUCUCUCUCUCUCUCUCUCUCUCUCUCUCUGUGUAUGUGUGUUGUGCGUGCGCUUCUUACCAUUAUUCUUUGCGUAUAGUUGGACCUACUGAUAAGAUUGUGAGGUUUAUUCAUUUAGUUGUGACUGACUUGUACCCAGUCAGUGUGGAUUGAUCCCCACAUCACAAGCUUAGGCCCUGAUAUUUUUCCAUAAUUUUGUUCUUUCAUAAGUCAAUAUAUCCUUGAAUACUCUGGUUUAUGUGGCUGAUUGAUUCCUACUCAUGAUUGAGUGUAUUCUUCUGGUCUGUGCCUGUCAUUGUGAUUUUUCGGGUCAGCUCACUCAUUGUAUACUUAGGCUCUGAAAUUUUUCUCUUCUCUUUUGAAGAUUUUGAAUAGUAAUUUACCUUGUCUCUAUAUUUAUUUUUAUAGUUUAAUGGUGUAAUGUUGUAGUUUUAACCUUGUAUUAUUUGACUUGUCACAGUAUGUUCCAUUUGCCCAGAAAUAUUAGUGCCAUAUCCUGAUGUAUGUAUAGAUUAUGAUUUUUGUAGUAGAUAUUUUUCAUGUGUUUUCUGUAAUAUUCUGUGUAUUAGAUGCUUCUGUAUAUCUGUCCAUUAUCCUGAGCAUCAUUUUGUACUCUGUUUGGCAAACCUUAGUCUGUCACAAAAUAUUGUAAACACACUGUUUCCAAAAUUUUGUGAAGCGGAAUUGUUAUGGAACACCCUUUUUCUAGCAUAACUUUUUUUUUUUAUAGAAGUAGCCAAUAGCAGGAUUAAUCCUGAAUCUGGUAUAGGUGAACAGUCUCAGCUUUUUCAAUGAAAGAAUUUCAUUUGAUUUUGUAUACGUAGUAUUAUAUUUCAGGCUAAAAUGUGUAACAAGAAAUUAAUUUAUUAGUACUCUGUAGGUAAGGCUAGAAUUAUUUUUCUUUUAGAAAUAUCUGGCAUACUUAAAAUUCAUAUUAUUGAUUGCAAAAUCUAACAUUAAUUAUUAAAUUUAUUUCUGGAUUCAUUUAUAAAAUAAUGUUAUAUCUCGGUGAUGAUCCUUCCCUUGUCAAGAAAGUUUGUACAUUCUUUUCCUUUGUAAACUCUUUGGAAUAUUGUGAGUAUCACAGAAUGCAGUAGUAGAGGGCAUGCCUCUGAUGGAGAUAGAUAUAUUUAUGUGAUUGACACUAACAAUGUAAUUUGGAAUAUUAAGUGGAAAUUAUAAAAACAGUGUGAUAUUUAAUAAUGUGACAAAGAAUAAAAUUCAAGAAAUAUAGAGUCAAA
Long non-coding RNA from Schistocerca gregaria, 2141 nucleotides. RefSeq lists it as uncharacterized. The record is from RefSeq and is a predicted model, not a curated record. The transcript has 3 exons. NCBI's taxonomy places the organism in Eukaryota, Metazoa, Arthropoda, Insecta, Orthoptera, Acrididae.